UGAACGCUGGCGGCAGGCCUACCACAUGCACGUCGAGCGGCUGAAGGGAGCUUGCUCCUGGCUUCAGCGGCGGACGGGUGAGUAAUGCCUAGGAAUCUGCCUGGUAGUGGGGGAUAACGUCCGGAAACGGGCGCUAAUCCCCCAUCCGUCCUGGGGGGGAAAGUGGGGGUUCUUCGGACCUCCCGCUAUCAGAUGAGCCUAGGUCGGAUUAGCUAGUUGGUGGGGUAAAGGCCUACCAAGGCGACGAUCCGUAACUGGUCUGAGAGGAUGAUCAGUCACACUGGAACUGAGACACGGUCCAGACUCCUACGGGAGGCAGCAGUGGGGAAUAUUGGACAAUGGGCGAAAGCCUGAUCCAGCCAUGCCGCGUGUGUGAAGAAGGUCUUCGGAUUGUAAAGCACUUUAAGUUGGGAGGAAGGGCAGUAAGUUAAUACCUUGCUGUUUUGACGUUACCAACAGAAUAAGCACCGGCUAACUUCGUG
RNAcentral lists this ribosomal RNA (482 nucleotides) under uncultured bacterium. RNAcentral describes it as "partial 16S ribosomal RNA". It matches the Rfam family "Bacterial small subunit ribosomal RNA", at positions 30 to 507 of the family's 1533-position model. The record is from RNAcentral.